This 615-nucleotide ribosomal RNA is filed under the name Triticum aestivum (bread wheat). RNAcentral describes it as "partial small subunit ribosomal RNA". The record is from RNAcentral. Lineage: Eukaryota; Viridiplantae; Streptophyta; Magnoliopsida; Poales; Poaceae.
AUGCGCUCCAUCGAAGGACGCAACAUCCUCCGUCAUCACUCACCCAUCACGUACUGUCACCGCCAUGUGCUGCGUCGCAGCAUUCGCCGCUGUCGCCGCGCGCUGCAUAGCAGCAACCGCUGUCGCCGCCGCAUGCUGCGUCAUCGCCGGCGCGCGCUGUGUCACCGGGCUCCACCGAUGCUGCAAUGGUGGCUGCCGCUGGCGCUCUCCCGGCGAGGUGCUCGACGUGGCAAUGCAACACACAGGUUUGCUGCCUUAUUCGAAAAGGCUCCGGUUCUGCAACUGGCCGACGGCGAGGUACCCGGCGUGCUACGAUGCAACUUUUUGAUGUUGCUGCGAUCCGGCCGUGUCCUUUUGAAGCAGCGAGUAAGCAUCGCUCAGGUGCUGCUCCUACGGGUCGAAUCGGGGGGCGUGUCAAUCUUCGUCGGAGAGCAAGUAUCUGGUGCUGCUGGCCUGCUGCUGCAGAGUGAGUCGGCCGGCGAUGGUCUUUGCACAUCUGUGCGCUGUGGCGAUGCGAGGAGAACGAAGCAGUGUAUUUCUGUUUCUGCGUUGAUUGAAUCAGAUGGCUACGUGCAUCCAGAUCUUGGCGUAUCAGACGGCUACCAACCCGACUGA